This 473-nucleotide ribosomal RNA is filed under the name uncultured Paraglomus. Its description in RNAcentral is "SSU rRNA". It matches the Rfam family "Eukaryotic small subunit ribosomal RNA", at positions 569 to 1047 of the family's 1831-position model. Lineage: Eukaryota; Fungi; Glomeromycota; Glomeromycetes; Paraglomerales; Paraglomeraceae. The record is from RNAcentral.
AGCAGCCGCGGUAAUUCCAGCUCCAAUAGCGUAUAUUAAAGUUGUUGCAGUUAAAAAGCUCGUAGUUGAAUUUCAGGCCUGGCUGGACGGUCCGCCCUUCGGGUGAGUACUGUCUGUGGUCGGGUCCUACCUUCUGGCGAAGCGUCAUGGCCUUAACCGGCCGUGGCGGGGAACCAGAACUUUUACUGUGAAAAAUUAGAGUGUUCAAAGCAGGCAAUCGCUUGGAUACAUUAGCAUGGAAUAAUGGAAUAGGACAAUGGUUCUAUUUGUUGGUUUCUAGGACCGUUGUAAUGAUUAAUAGGGAUAGUUGGGGGCAUUAGUAUUCAAUUGUCAGAGGUGAAAUUCUUGGAUUUAUUGAAGACUAACUACUGCGAAAGCAUUUGCCAAGGAUGUUUUCAUUAAUCAAGAACGAAAGUUAGGGGAUCGAAGACGAUCAGAUACCGUCGUAGUCUUAACCAUAAACUAUGCCGACU